AACGCGAUUAACCCCGCUCUAUCUCCUACUUUACCUCUUUCCUAUUCCUUUUUUACAAUAAUUACAGCCACGCGCGAUGCAUCUCUUAGCCCAGAAUCGAGAGAAAAACGAAUCACGAUACGCAUACCGACGCGCUUUUGUGAUCCCGGCAAUCAAACCGGUUCCAAGGAGAAGACGAGGGAACGAAGAUAAAGAUCGUCGAACACGUAUGCGAUCUUUUUUCCUUCUUUUUUUUUGAACAUUAAACAGAUUUAACGCGUACCAUGUUGAUCCACUUGGUUCGUUAAUGGCUUCGAGAUAUACAAGAAAGCGCAAGAAACGCGACAACAGCUCCACGCGUGGAUAUAUUUGGAACAAUUUAAACAUGGAUGGAACAACUUCUACCUUGUUCAUCUUACGGAAAAUUUAUGUCGAAGUAGCGUGUGUAUAUAUAUAUACGGAUAAGAAGCUAUUCGUUGUAUAAAUAACGUGGAGAAAACUUGUCCUGGACGACAAACGAGCACGAGUAGAAUCAUUGAGGUAAAACGAAGAACGCGUGAACACGACAACAUAGAGGAGAAGGCGGGGGAAAAAACGUAUUUCCUGCACGAGCGCCAUCGAGCGGAUCGAGAGACGAUGCUCGAUUACUUCCUUUUACGGCUUAAUAUAUGGAGAAGAGAAGAGAAGGAAGGAUGUAUUAAAAAAUUAUCGUGGAAACAAAUUGCAGAAGAAGUUGAAUUUGUUCUUUCGAGGAUAACGAUCUCGAAAAAAAUAAAAAAAAAAAAAAGAAAAAAAGAAAGAAGUUUAUGUUUUCAAGAAGAUAUCUUUCUUGAAAUCAGAGGAGAGGAGAAGGUAGCAUAAAACGUGUGUAGCAUUGCCACAUUUAAAUCGACAUUUUCUUCGAAUAAUAAAAAAAAGGAUAAGAGAUAAGCGUGAUUACCAUUACCUAACGAGUAGGACGAGUCGAGAAUCUAUACGAAUUCAUCUCUCUCGCGAGAUAGCUGCUAGUAGAAAAACGUAAAUAUAUCUUUUCGCUGAUCAAUUUCAACUCGUCCAGUUUGAAUAAAAAGUAACAUUUCAACGUGUGCAUAUUUUACUUUUAUUUCAUUCCUUUUUAACUACUAUUUUUAAUCAUUCGGUCGAAAAACAAAUUGCUCGAAUAAUCUUUAUAAAGAGAUGGAAAUCGUAUUCAGGCCAUGAAGAUGGGCUUUGAAGAUGUGAAGAGUUUUGAUUGGCGAACGACACGAGAAACACGGAUAGGCGAAGGGCGAAGAAAAAGAUUCUCAGGAACCACCUCCCGGAAGGUGUGCACGCGAUAUAAUAAGAGAACGUGGUCACACCGACCCAGAAUCGUAGUAGGCAGCUCGAUGUGGGACAUAGCGGCACUUCUUACGGCCAUAGAUACCUUUCCCAUCUGUUGGCAAACGACACAAAGCUUGUCGACCUCGCUUCGUUUCGACGCGUGCCCCUUUGAGCAUCGCGAUCGAGGAAGGAAAGAAAGAAAGAAAUGGAAGUAAUUAAUGCCAGCGAGAACAAUCGCGAUAACAGGUUACGUAUCAACAGGUUUGAAAUUAUGAUCGUGGAAAAAGUUCACCGAGAGUUCAAGCGCUGUGUGCUUGAAAUUCAAAGGCCUUCUUUGUUGACCGCAAUUUUGCACAUCUUUCCCAGAAUAUUUGAUACGUAUAUUUGAAAACGUAUAUAUUUUAGUUUUAGUUUAGAUGAAUUUUCUCUUUGACUGAAUUGGUCAAUUAAUCGACAAAAUUUAAUAAUCCAAGUUACUUCGAAUAAUGUUAUUUGGAUAAUUUAUCGUUCAAAACGUAAUAAUAAUAAUAAUAAUAAUAAUAAUAAUUGGGAAUAAUUGUAACGCCAAACGAAUCAAUUAUAACAGCUACGAGUAAAGUUAUUCAAGCAUUUUAAUAAUUAGCGAAAUUUUUAACUAGUUACUUUUUCAACGAACUAUUGUCCAACUCUGGACGGACACUAGAUAAUAACACUAGAAAAUCACUAAUCAUCCACAGAUGUCGUAGGCGACGUUGAUGAAACGUUGGAGAUAGAAAAACCCGAGGAAAUGUAUUCUUCUCUUUUCCAAUACACAAGAUUCGAAGAACAAACUACUCGCUAGGCUUAAUUAUUUGAAACGAAUUAAAAUUUUCCUCGCGUCCUCGUAACAAUUCUCCGCAAGUUGCGUCAUCGAUUCGUAAUAAAUAAUUAAGAGCAACGUUCGUGGACGGUUGAACGGGAGCGCUUCCGCAACGGUGCACCGUUACCGAUCGAGAACGUUUUUUUUAACGAGAGUACGGUCGACAUCCACCCGAUCUCGAUAAAUAGUUUUGGUUUGCAUGUCGAGCUGCGUUCUCGUUCUCCAUCUUCGCGGAAAUUGCGAACGAAGACGGCAUCCAGGAGGAGAGAAAUGGAGAAUCAUGAAGAAUGCACGCGUUAAUUAAUUAAAACUUUUUGAAGUCGCGGUAGAGGGAGCCUCGGGCUGCGAAAAUUCUCGUUCGACCAGAUAAACGGGAUAUACGCAUCCGGAGUCACGGAUAUCUUAUUCCUCUUUUUCUCUCUCUCUCUUUACUCUUUUAUCAAUUAGAUACGCUAUACGGAUGUAAAUUAUGACAAAUUUAUAUGAAAAUGCGAUAAGCGCGGUUGAACUUGAACGAAUGAAAAUCGAACAAAGUAACGUUAUCUAAUAUUAUACACGAGAUAUAAUAUUAAUUCGCUAUUUUAACGUAUUUCAAUUUUUAUUUUUAUUUUUAAUAUAUAAGGAAACGUGUCGAUGGGUAUAUCCUGGGUGAACUCUGGAAGGUCAUCGAUCGUGAAGAGAACGAAAGUUUUCAAGGAAACGAGGAACGACAACCUCGAAGAAGGAAAAAGUAAACUCUGAAUUUCUUGGAACUGCUACUAAUUGCUCCGCUCUCGUGAUAAUUGACGAACACGUGAAAAGUGAAGAUACUCUCGUGCUCUCGGCUCAUUUUUCACGCGAAAGGAAUAUCAUUUUUUAUCGAGCGAACAUUACGUGAAAUAUGGGUUAGAGAAUCGAUUAAGAAGAAAAAGAGAAAGAAAGAAAGAAAGAGAGAAAGAAAAAUCGAUAACUUUAAUCGGUGAGCGGAAAGUAAUGGGUAACUGGUAUUACGAAAACGGUGUCGGUCGAACGAGUAAAUUGUUACAUCAAGAGGAAGCAUUUUAUUCGCCGCUCGCGAAAGUGCGCGUUAAUUAUACCAUCGUUAAUUACACGGCGUGUAAAGGAAAAAAAAAUAGAAAAUGUUUGUAAACAACGCCGGUAACAUGGCAUCAUUCACCGACCAUUUCCUCCAUGAAAUUCUGAUUACCCUCGUCGUAAUAUCCGCACCUGCAUUGUAUUCCACUCGCGAUAAAAUCAAAUCAUCGAUCGUCAGAUCCAUUUUUCUAUCUUCGAUGAUGGAUCGUUAUUAAGUAUCAUCUCUCUCUUAAACCCUGUUAAAUUCGUCAUUUUCCUUAAAGUCUCUUUAGUUUCCUUUGUGCGUGGAUUUUUUUAGAAAAAAAAAAAGUUUCCUCGUCCACCUCAAAAUAGAAAAAAAUCCUAUAAAACGCCAUUACUUCCAGGAUUACUUACCCGCUCAAAAGGAGUAGGAUUCUCUUCUAGAGGAGCGUUGGCUGGGCUCGUUUCGUUUUCAGAUCCCGAUUUAUUAGAUGGUUCGCUCGUGCAACGGGUAUUGGCAUCUCGAUCGAUGGACUUGACGAGUCAAUGGCGGCGCUCAGUGGCGGCAACUUCCGUUUCU
This is a long non-coding RNA of Apis cerana (Asiatic honeybee), 3734 nucleotides long. RefSeq lists it as uncharacterized. The record is from RefSeq and is a predicted model, not a curated record. NCBI's taxonomy places the organism in Eukaryota, Metazoa, Arthropoda, Insecta, Hymenoptera, Apidae.